This 1117-nucleotide long non-coding RNA is filed under the name Dromaius novaehollandiae (emu). Its description in RNAcentral is "lncRNA (ENSDNVG00000015556.1)". The record is from RNAcentral. Lineage: Eukaryota; Metazoa; Chordata; Aves; Casuariiformes; Dromaiidae.
CUUGAACUGCCAWCAUUAAGCUAACUCAUUUCCUAAAUUUCUGUGGGAAGAUGUUAACAUGUAUUACACUGUCUUUUAAUUUCUGGCCAGUUUAUAUAAAAUCAGAAUUUUGUUUUUGUCACUUAAUAUAGACACGAUGAAUAAUAUAAAUCUUUAUUUUCAAGUACUUGUAUUUUGGCACUUUGAACAGCUUUUGUGUCCUGAACAGCAUUAGAAACAAAAGAAAAGGGACACCUCUUAAAGCCAGCUUCAGUGUAAAUUUAAUCAUUCAUCACUUAGGCUUAGAGUAUGAUUUUCUAUAAGGUGAGAUUUGUUGCCUGCCUGAUAGGAAUAGCUUAUAGCUCUUUCAGGAACUGAGCUUAUUUGCAUGUAACAAAGUUGUAUCAAGAUUACAGGAAGGAAAAGGCUUGCUAGUGUAGAAAAUGGAUACUGUUCUUGAKGUGUUUAUGUACACUUGAAACAAAUCAGCUGGAAAAUUCCAGGUUAAAACAGGCACUGUGUUUUUAUACAAAUCCACACCAGAUUCUCAUUGCAAGGGUCCUUUGAGCCCAUUUAUUUUUACAUUAAGUCUAUAUUCCUCACAUCAUUAUGAGUUUGUUUCCUAGUCCUAAUCCUUUGUAUUCCCAGGCUUGACUUUUAGGCACUGUAAAUUCUUUGAUUAAGCUUGUGCUGUACUUUGAGCUUAGGCUUAGAGCCUCCAUUCCUCCAAAGAGCUUUGAGUUGUUAUAAUCCCYUCCUUUCAUUACUUUGCAGAAAGGGGAGGGAGCACUUUUCCUCAUCCUCCACUGCUUUCAGGCUUGACUUUUGCGUCAGCCUCUCACCUGACUGGUCCUGCUGGGUUGCCCUCAUGACUUUUUUUCCCCCCCCUUCCUAAGUACCUAAGCAGUGUGAUGCACAGUGUAAUUCUAACAGCCCUUGUGGCAGGGAAGGUCUGGGAACAGUUUAAAACUGGGUCUAACUUUUUCUCCUUAGCCCCUUUUCCAGGACAGCCUCUAUAGGAGCGGGAGGUGCUGGCCCAGAGAAAUGGAAAAUCUGGUUCAAAAGAUGUAUACAACUUCUGGUUCAAAAUAACCCCAUCUGCAUUGGGAAAGUCUUCCGGUUCCAAGGGAGGUCCUUA